UCUGGCUUAUAGCCGAGCGGUCCCUCUAGAGUCCCCAACUCAAUGCUGGUAACUAGAGGCACGGGUUGCGCUCGUUGCGGGACUUAACCCAACAUCUCACAACACGAGCUGACGACAGCCAUGCAGCACCUGUCACCGCGUCCCCGAAGGGAACGCCUGCUUUCACAGGUUAGCGCGGGAUGUCAAGCCCAGGUAAGGUUCUUCGCGUAGCAUCGAAUUGAACCACAUGCUCCACCGCUUGUGCGGGCCCCCGUCAAUUCCUUUGAGUUUUAAUCUUGCGACCGUACUCCCCAGGCGGAUUACUUAAUGCGUUAGCUUCGACACCGAAACUAUUAGGUAUUCCGACGUCUAGUAAUCAUCGUUUAGGGCGUGGACUAC
This 378-nucleotide unclassified non-coding RNA is filed under the name uncultured delta proteobacterium. RNAcentral's name for it is "contains 16S-23S intergenic spacer region". Lineage: Bacteria; Deltaproteobacteria. The record is from RNAcentral.